CUGUUGUUAAGGAACUCGGCAAAAUGACCCCGUAACUUAGGGAUAAGGGGUGCCACCAUCAGGUGGCCGCAGAGAAUAGGCCCAAGCGACUGUUUACCAAAAACAUAGGUUUCUGCUAAGUCGCAAGACGAUGUAUAGGAGCUGACGCCUGCCCGGGGCUGGAAGGUUAAGGGGAUCUGUUAGAGCAAUCGAAGCAGUGAACUUAAGCCCCAGUAAACGGCG
RNAcentral lists this ribosomal RNA (222 nucleotides) under Clostridioides difficile. RNAcentral describes it as "partial 23S ribosomal RNA". It matches the Rfam family "Bacterial large subunit ribosomal RNA", at positions 1699 to 1932 of the family's 2925-position model. The record is from RNAcentral. Lineage: Bacteria; Bacillati; Bacillota; Clostridia; Peptostreptococcales; Peptostreptococcaceae.